GCGUGAGUGAUGAAGGCCUUCGGGUUGUAAAGCUCUUUCACCCACGACGAUGAUGACGGUAGUGGGAGAAGAAGCCCCGGCUAACUUCGUGCCAGCAGCCGCGGUAAUACGAAGGGGGCUAGCGUUGUUCGGAGUUACUGGGCGUAAAGGGCGCGUAGGCGGCCUGAUCAGUCUGGUGUGAAAGCCCGGGGCUCAACCCCGGAAUUGCACUGGAGACGGUCAAGCUUGAGUGUGGGAGAGGAUGGUGGAAUUCCCAGUGUAGAGGUGAAAUUCGU
RNAcentral lists this ribosomal RNA (275 nucleotides) under uncultured bacterium. Its description in RNAcentral is "partial 16S ribosomal RNA". It matches the Rfam family "Bacterial small subunit ribosomal RNA", at positions 399 to 691 of the family's 1533-position model. The record is from RNAcentral.